Cloeon dipterum is the source of this 2042-nucleotide long non-coding RNA. RefSeq lists it as uncharacterized. The record is from RefSeq and is a predicted model, not a curated record. The transcript has 5 exons. NCBI's taxonomy places the organism in Eukaryota, Metazoa, Arthropoda, Insecta, Ephemeroptera, Baetidae.
GUGCUUGUGAACACCGCUUCUACAUAAUUUUCGCGCACUCCUUCGGCUUCGUUUUUGAACGGAUUUCAGUCGCCUAAGUGCUGAAUUUUGGCAGCAUUUUACUCUGGACAAUCUGUGCUUUGCGUUGAUGGUGUUGGAUGUCGUGCAGAUUAGAUGCCUCAUUCCUUCAAAAAGUUGCGGCAGAAGCCUUUUGUGAUGACUUCUUCAGGGUGCAGCCUGCUUCAGCGGGCCUCCAAGGGGAGGAUAGGCGGUCUGCGUGUGGACAUAGUCGCGUUGCCACACGCAUUCCAGAGCUGGACGCCCGUGCCCUGGGUCCUGCUCCCUUCGGAGGCCACCGAGGAAAACCUCUAAGAGACCCUGAACCUGAACCACGCUUGGUUGCUGGUCGCUCCCAAUUUUACAGUCACAGAACAACAAAACAUCUUUAUUUGCUCGCCAACAGGUUUCCUCCCAGCGACUUGAAGAUCGCCUUCUGGCCUUUGUUGAAAUGGAGUCGCUACGUCGGGAGACAAGAGACGUUCGUAAAUUAUUGAGCAGCCUGAGCAGCAGUUAAUGGCCAAGCUGCUGUGUCGAGGGCUGUGCGAAUCAGUUAAUAAAUACGAGGCACCGCAGACUGGGCGCAGACGUGGAUACGUUUCUUGCGCUGGACCACCUGCACCAUGACGAUAGAAUCAUCUUUCAUAGCUGCUCGCACCAUAGGACGCGUUGACCACCUCAAGGAAGACUAGGCCAGUGCCAUUGACAACCUUUGGAAGUAAACGCAGAGCUAGACUAGCUGUACCCCAAGAAACGCACAAAGGAACUGGAGAAGCCAGCGUUUUGGCGCAAUUGGUGUUGCCAAUCAGCUCGGCGAGGCCAGUCUUGAUUCUCGGCGUCCCCGGCCCUUGAGUCUGGGUUGCCGUCGCUCGUUUCUCUUUUAAUUUUCAGCAAUUUAACCACGUUAAAAACCUCCAAUCGUUUAGCUAGGUCCAACCAGUCGAGGGAACCACCUGGCCAGGGAACCUGUUUCUCUGAGGCUAAAGCGUGUAGACGUGGCGCCAGUUGAAAAGACUCAACGCCGUCAUUGCGUGCUGAGCGUGACGCCGAAAAUUUUCAAGACCGACGAGGGCCUCUUCAACACCUAACUGGUGGCGCCCAACAUAAAACAAGAGGCCUGGCCGCCACUUCCUGCCGCAAGCUCAACCACGCCCCAGUUUUUUUCCUGGCAUCUGUUGCAUAGGCGCAGAAUGCUAGUUACAGGCAUCCUCGAAGCCAUUUUUAGUUCUGUAGCUUUGCACGAAGGUGCUGAUGAAGUAGCCAGAAUAGACGUUAUAGACGAACAGUUCUUUUGAGGAGGCGUUGAACCUUUCCUUUUGUCAGAGAUGCUGGAGGACCACGCAAUUGCGCUGCUGCAGCGCCACAUCAUCACAAUUUGUUUGUCUUGUACAUUUUUUGUCUGGUAAACCGAGUGGCGCAGGCGGGAGCAGAUGAGAUACAGACUGCACAGGGCAAAUAAUGCAGGUGGAUGAACUCACCAUGUUGUCUGUCAAGGCCCCACGUCAAGGAUGCCGACAAUAGCUUGACGUUUAAGAAGCCUUUGACGACAGCUACAUGGACAAAAUGUCCCCUGAUUUGUUGAAUUUGACCUUUCAAGCUUCAGUUUAUUUUUUAUCAUCAGCUAAUGACUAUAAAUAUUUUUAAUUGAAAAAUUAUUAUAUUUUCAAUUGGACGAAGGCGCAACUGGCCCAAAAUCUCGUAUAUUCUUCGUUAAACAAAAUAAUCGGACAAAAGGUAAGAAAGGGCCGUGGUAAGGCUGCCGGAAGGUGUUCCUGGCGGCGCUGCCAUACGUGUUGAUGACCUGAGCCCUAUGGCCAUCGAUGCGGAUGUCGAGCAGUGCCGCCGGCUCAAAGUCCAUCUCUUAGGCGCUGAUGUCGGCUGUGUCGAGGCAGCGGCCGCCCCUGCGCUGUUCACAUCAUCACCCGUCAAACUGAAAUUUCGACUUCUGAAAUCCUGUUAUUACUUUUUAUGUAAUCUUCUUUUCUCAAUACAAAUAUAACUUUCAA